UCAAGGCAAGGGCUGGCUUCUCAUUGGCUCCUUAUAGGCUCCCAUGAAUGUUCCCAUGUAUCUGACCAGAUACAUGCUCAAGGGUGCUUCUCCUUUACAGCUCACGCCAGCUCACACCUUGCUGUCUUAUCCACAAGUGAUCCCAUAAUCAGCCACACGAGUUUCUUCUUCCUUGGGGCUCAAGACAGACUUGUUCAAACUUCAGGAUGUGUACGGAUUGCUUGCACUGACCGUACAACACCCUAAUAUUGCACAAGUCCUAAAAUGUCCCAAAUGGCCGAGUUAUGCAAUAUGGUUCGACCCUGAUCCGUACUGAUCCGUACUGGUCUCCUUAUCUUUGCACACUCAACCAUUUGCUCCCAAUCACACUUCUAAGUCCCUCCCGGACUUGGCCCUAUCUUUGCACAACCCAUCUCAAUCCUACUCCUCCUUUGGCUCCAUUCUUUUCUUC
This 451-nucleotide long non-coding RNA is filed under the name Brassica rapa (field mustard). Its description in RNAcentral is "long non-coding RNA (BRAP_LNC008999)". The record is from RNAcentral. Lineage: Eukaryota; Viridiplantae; Streptophyta; Magnoliopsida; Brassicales; Brassicaceae.